Long non-coding RNA from Medicago truncatula (barrel medic), 952 nucleotides. RefSeq lists it as uncharacterized. The record is from RefSeq and is a predicted model, not a curated record. Lineage: Eukaryota; Viridiplantae; Streptophyta; Magnoliopsida; Fabales; Fabaceae. The transcript is spliced from 3 exons.
UAACUACUGUGUUUUUCUUUGAAAAAAAUCUGGCUUACCUACUAAUCACACUCACAAAAACAUAAUUGCUACCUUUCUCUUUCUCACAGUUGCAUAAACAAUCAUAAAAAAACAACUGCUUCCAUUCUAUUUCUCACAAUUGAAUGGUUUAGUUCUACACAAUUUAUUAAACAAUUAUUCAGAGAAAGGCCCCUCAAUGACACCGUUUGCUUCUAACUUCUCCAUCACUUUUUGAAAUUUAUAAGCACAUACUUAAUAUUGCUCUCCUGUCAUGAAGAAACAACCCACCAAUAGCGGUUUCCUGAGUGUUCCAUGGGGAGGCGUGGCCUAGAUAGUGAGAUAGGGAACCAGGGACAUCGCGUCACAUUCUUUUUCUAGGGUAAUGUGCAACAGGUAAAAUACAAACACCAACUUCAGUGCUUGCAGGUCGGGUUUUUAUGUACGACACACUUCAGAAAGGAUUUGGUGACCGAUGAUUGGAAUCCCUAGAGAAAUGUUGUUUCUUUUGAGCAAUUAAAUGUUGUUGUUGACUUUUGUCUUCCACAAUGAAUGGUUCCUUAAACAAUUAGUGCUCAUAACAGGUUUCUUAAUUAGCUUUUCACUCAAUUUUCUUUCCUUAAUAUUCUUAAGAUGCAUGGCUACGAAAUUGGGGUUUCAAAAAUGUGGCCAUGAAAAGUAUUUCACAUAAACCAUGGAGUGGCCAAACUGACCAAGGGGUCCAUGUCGUCAUUGCCCGUCUAUUCUCAUACUGGAUUUUGCAGCUAUUCAUUAUGGAGAGUAAAAUUGGUAAUGUUUUUCUGUUUUUUCUUCUGGCAGGAUUAAUGAAAUAAAAAUUGUCCCUUAUAGUUAUGUGGUCCUAUUCAUAAGAAAUUUUGGAUCGUGUUUUUACUUUAUGGUACGUUUUUAGGCGUAGCUAUUUUAGAACUAAAAUGUUUGUGAUCUUUUUUCCCAC